This 666-nucleotide ribosomal RNA is filed under the name Salmonella enterica subsp. enterica serovar Panama str. SA20030878. RNAcentral's name for it is "bacterial SSU rRNA". It matches the Rfam family "Bacterial small subunit ribosomal RNA", at positions 1 to 653 of the family's 1533-position model. The record is from RNAcentral. Lineage: Bacteria; Pseudomonadati; Pseudomonadota; Gammaproteobacteria; Enterobacterales; Enterobacteriaceae.
UUAAAUUGAAGAGUUUGAUCAUGGCUCAGAUUGAACGCUGGCGGCAGGCCUAACACAUGCAAGUCGAACGGUAACAGGAAGCAGCUUGCUGCUUUGCUGACGAGUGGCGGACGGGUGAGUAAUGUCUGGGAAACUGCCUGAUGGAGGGGGAUAACUACUGGAAACGGUGGCUAAUACCGCAUAACGUCGCAAGACCAAAGAGGGGGACCUUCGGGCCUCUUGCCAUCAGAUGUGCCCAGAUGGGAUUAGCUUGUUGGUGAGGUAACGGCUCACCAAGGCGACGAUCCCUAGCUGGUCUGAGAGGAUGACCAGCCACACUGGAACUGAGACACGGUCCAGACUCCUACGGGAGGCAGCAGUGGGGAAUAUUGCACAAUGGGCGCAAGCCUGAUGCAGCCAUGCCGCGUGUAUGAAGAAGGCCUUCGGGUUGUAAAGUACUUUCAGCGGGGGAGGAAGGUGUUGUGGUUAAUAACCGCAGCAAUUGACGUUACCCGCAGAAGAAGCACCGGCUAACUCCGUGCCAGCAGCCGCGGUAAUACGGAGGGUGCAAGCGUUAAUCGGAAUUACUGGGCGUAAAGCGCACGCAGGCGGUCUGUCAAGUCGGAUGUGAAAUCCCCGGGCUCAACCUGGGAACUGCAUUCGAAACUGGCAGGCUUGAGUCUUGUA